UGACUUCUGUUACAUAAAAUUUUUCCUUUUAGAGUGUACUUUGAACUUUGUAAUAUUGCAGAACUUUUUAUGCUUACACAGCAACAUUACACACUAACUAA
This is a long non-coding RNA of Sinocyclocheilus grahami, 101 nucleotides long. RefSeq lists it as uncharacterized. The transcript is spliced from 3 exons. The record is from RefSeq and is a predicted model, not a curated record. Lineage: Eukaryota; Metazoa; Chordata; Actinopteri; Cypriniformes; Cyprinidae.